Sycon ciliatum is the source of this 857-nucleotide long non-coding RNA. RefSeq lists it as uncharacterized. The transcript is spliced from 2 exons. The record is from RefSeq and is a predicted model, not a curated record. NCBI's taxonomy places the organism in Eukaryota, Metazoa, Porifera, Calcarea, Leucosolenida, Sycettidae.
UGGCCCGAUGAAUCGAAUGUCUUCUACAACUGGAACGGGCCCGUAAACUCUGUCGCGUCGGCGGACUGUAUGCGCAGGACGAAAAACAUUGCUGCGAAGACGUCCCCUAUAGGCGACGGUAUAUCAUCCUGUGACGACCACAUUGAAGUCUGAAUUUGAAGUGUGAAGAUGCUUCAGCAACCACAUCGUACUUUUCCAUUGCUUUCAUUGUGCUUCUACUGUGCAUGUGUGUAAGUUGUGGGGUAUACUUGUGAUGACAUUGUGUGCUGGCGACACGGUCAGAUUUUGUCAUGCGUGUAACGUACACCUGCAUGUUAUGCAUUGAAAAGGAUCAGCCACUUACGAUCCUGGGACGAGUAUCAGGUCAGCUUUGUCUUGUGUGGGCUGUACCAGAUUGCUGUUCACUUCUCUAUCUGUUGGAUAUGUGACUUUCUGCAAGUUUCUGGUGUAUGGUGGCCACUUCCUUGCUUGUCACUUUGUAUGAUAUUACAAUCUGUAUUCGCUGCUUCCAUGGCGUGGUCUGCAAACUGCAAUCCUUGAGCAAAUGUCAUGUUUGCUAUGUUGUGCUUUGGCCGUCAGCUUGUCUACACAUUGUACAGUCAACUUCACGUAUAACGACAAUCGGCCGGGCAUCAGAAAAGUGUCCUUAUUCGCGAAGUGUCGUUAUACCCGAAGUCCCAUUAUAUGAUUGUAUUACAGUUGGAUGGGACUUUGCUCUGGGCAUGGAAAUUCUGUCGUUAUUCGCGAAUUGUCGUUAUAUCCGCAGUCGUUAUUAUCGAAGUUGACUGUAGUUGAAUUAUUUUGUUUCACAUCUGACUUCCUGAAGUACGGUGGCCACUGCUUUGCAUGGCAUUAUA